Molecule: ribosomal RNA, 274 nt
Filed under: uncultured bacterium
Lineage: Bacteria
Description: partial 16S ribosomal RNA
Rfam family: Bacterial small subunit ribosomal RNA
Source: RNAcentral
AUACGGAGGGUGCAAGCGUUAAUCGGAAUUACUGGGCGUAAAGCGCGCGUAGGCGGUUUAGUCAGUCAGAUGUGAAAGCACCGGGCUCAACCUGGGAACUGCAUUUGAUACUGCUGAACUAGAGUAUGGUAGAGGGAAGUGGAAUUCCGGGUGUAGCGGUGAAAUGCGUAGAUAUCCGGGGGAACACCAGUGGCGAAGGCGACUUCCUGGACCAAUACUGACGCUGAGGUGCGAAAGCGUGGGUAGCAAACAGGAUUAGAAACCCCAGUAGUCC